RNAcentral lists this ribosomal RNA (253 nucleotides) under uncultured bacterium. RNAcentral describes it as "partial 16S ribosomal RNA". It matches the Rfam family "Bacterial small subunit ribosomal RNA", at positions 524 to 776 of the family's 1533-position model. The record is from RNAcentral.
UACAGAGGGGGCAAGCGUUAUUCGGAAUCAUUGGGCGUAAAGGGCGCGUAGGCGGCUUGGCAAGUGGAAGGUGAAAUCCCUCGGCUUAACCGAGGAACUGCCCUCCAAACUGCUUUGCUUGAGGCCGGGAGAGGCGAGUGGAAUUCCCAGUGUAGCGGUGAAAUGCGUAGAUAUUGGGAGGAACACCAGUGGCGAAGGCGGCUCGCUGGACCGGUUCUGACGCUGAGGCGCGAAAGCGUGGGGAGCAAACGGG